Molecule: long non-coding RNA, 681 nt
Organism: Amaranthus tricolor (Joseph's coat)
Lineage: Eukaryota; Viridiplantae; Streptophyta; Magnoliopsida; Caryophyllales; Amaranthaceae
Exons: 3
Source: RefSeq, a predicted model, not a curated record
GUUAAUAUUUAUUUGGGAAAUUAUCAAUGGUGCCCUUGUACUAUUGAAAAAUUACAAUGGUAUCCAACUGCAUUUCAGUGGUACCCCCAAUUAUAUGGUAAUUACAACCGUGACCUUAAUGAUGAAUUUUCCGUUAAAUGUCCGUUAAAUUUGGAAUUUAACCUAACCAUGGUUAGUUUCUUCUUCUUCUUCCCUUUUCUCUUUCAUGGCUGCUCUUCUUCCAUGGCUUAAUAUUGCUCCAUAGUUGAUAGUUGAUUGCUUCCCUCCUUCCUUUGGUGAUUGGUGAACGCGUUUCAACUUCUCAUUCUCUCUCUUCCCCUUUAGCUUAAUCCCCUCUUCUAAUCCUGAUUCAAGAUGAGAAAUAAUUUGUGGGUAUUCAAUGGAAUGAUGAUGAAAUUGCCCAUUUUGUUGUUACUGUUUUUUCAUCUACAACUUCUUCCUUGUUGUUCCAUGAAUUCUGAAGGAAUAGCUUUGUUGGAAUUUUAAAAAAUGGUGGAAGAAGAUCCUUUUAAUGCCCUUUCUGAUUGGAAUUCUGAUAAAAAUCAUUGUUUUUGGUUUGGAGUUUAUUGCUCUGAUGGAAAUGUUGUUAUUCUGUAAGUUCUUCAUUUUGAUCUCUUUUCAUUUUUCUGUUUAUUUGCUCAUGACUUUUAUGCUGAUUAAAAUCUCAACUCACUUGCCGAA